This 300-nucleotide ribosomal RNA is filed under the name uncultured Saccharofermentans sp. Its description in RNAcentral is "bacterial SSU rRNA". It matches the Rfam family "Bacterial small subunit ribosomal RNA", at positions 496 to 795 of the family's 1533-position model. The record is from RNAcentral. Lineage: Bacteria; Bacillati; Bacillota; Clostridia; Eubacteriales; Oscillospiraceae.
GCUAAAUGGUGGGCAGCGGGGGAGGUAAUACGAAUGGAGCGAGCGGUGUGCGUAAUCACGGUGCGUGAAGGUGGUGCAGGCGGUUGUGAAAGGCAGGAGGGAAAUCCCAGGUGUCAACCUUGGAAUUGCUUUUGAAACUUCACGACUAUAGUACUGGAGGGGUUGGCGGAAUUUCGAGUGUAGCAGUGAAAUGCGUAGAUAUUCGAAGGAACACCGAUGGCGUAGGCAGCCAACUGGACAGUUACUGACGCUCAUGUACGAAAGUAUGGGGAGCAAACAGGAUUAGAUACCCUAGUAGUC